UUGGUUAUAACAACAAACACUCGAAUCGUUGCUAGACAGAAGGUGCUAUUGCAAUAAUAUAUAGUCGUUGCAAUGUAGGGGAACACAUGGUUGCAAUAGAUGAGUUUGUGGGUGCCGCCAGCUUGGUUAUGUUGGUAGGCCUUUAUUUUCUCCCACACAUAUGGCAGGCCUUUCUUUCACAAGCUGAGAGGCCUAAUUCUGAUCUAUCUCCUAGUAUCGCC
RNAcentral lists this long non-coding RNA (221 nucleotides) under Setaria italica (foxtail millet). RNAcentral describes it as "long non-coding RNA (SITA_LNC003647)". The record is from RNAcentral. Lineage: Eukaryota; Viridiplantae; Streptophyta; Magnoliopsida; Poales; Poaceae.